AGGAAAAGAAAGAAAAGAGUUUGUGUGUUGGCGAUGCAUCGUCAGCUACUCCUGGGCUCGCAGCUAGCAGCCAGCACUAGGUAGCUGCUGCGGCCUACUUUGGAAUCCGCAGACGCUGAGGGGAGGUGACUCCCCAUGAGGUUGCACGCAAGCUGACAAAACGACGAGACGAAGGAAAAGGAGAGAGAGGGCGUGGAUGGAUGGAUGGAU
This 210-nucleotide long non-coding RNA is filed under the name Hordeum vulgare. RNAcentral describes it as "long non-coding RNA (HVUL_LNC011006)". Lineage: Eukaryota; Viridiplantae; Streptophyta; Magnoliopsida; Poales; Poaceae. The record is from RNAcentral.